GACACCGUACAAAUUGUUAACAGUUUCCUUUCUUCACAUGUUUUACGACUAUUGGGCACUGAAGAAAUUACUCCUUUGCUACGAGACACGGUAGUGACUUUACGAGUCGUAUAACGGCAUAUGAUUUCAUGACGAAUUUAACUAGCACGUAUAUCUCGACUGGUUCAAUUUUCAAGAAAUUUAUUAGCUUAAACCAGUCGGUAUCAUUUCCAGAAAUUCAACGUAGCCAAGUGUACACACCGUGCAAUAUCAUGACUCUGGCAAUGUUUAAUAGUUGGGAGUAACGAAAUUUGAAAUACCUCGAAAAUCUACUGUAUCGACCGUCCUGCGGUUUCCAGCUCAGGCCCCCAUUGAAAUACAACUGCAUUUAACGUACCCUAGUGGCAUUCAGUCUGCUAGACGCGGACGACAAUGGCCGCCAGUCAGCUGACACGUGCAAACUACAAAGUACGUCAGUACGUUCUAGGUGAAACAGUUAAGAGAUGUUCAGCGAUAAUGCGACAACUGUUUAGAUAUAAAGUGACCAAGGUACGUAAAGAAGUAUGACGAAGAAACUGUAAGCAAGCAUAGCGUAAGUAAACUAAACAACAUUGACUUCCACGGAGAAUACGUUAGUCGAGGUUAAGGCCAGGGACUUGCAUGCUUCGUGGUCAUAGGCUCGCGUCGAUUUUACCUUCCCUUACUUCUCUCUCCCAUACUUUUCUUCAUUUCCCUUUCUACCGCAAUUUCUCUCCCUCCCUCUCUCUCUCUCUCUCUCUGUUUCCUGCAGCUAGUAAACACUAAGCCCGCUAAUCAAUAUCCUACCUACAGUCAACGUUAUACCUACGUAACUGUCUCCCUUACUUCUCGCUCCCACAAUUUUCUAUCCUCUUUCCGAUCUAUCCUUCCCGUUGCAGCCUGAAAUUCGACCUGUCCAGGAUGCAUUUUCUGCUGCAUAAUGCCCUGCGAAAAAUCGAUACGCUCCACACUCUAUGGCAACGUUACCUACCAGGUAGGCGUGUAGCUGAUCGUGCAGUAUAUACAGCACGUAUAAAUAUAUCUACGAUAAGUCCAAAGAGGUUCUCUUGAUUGCAAAUCAACGUUCGAGCUAUUAACGAUAUAUUCAUAGCUCGGCGCAUCUACAAGAAGUCAAAAGUGAGGAAUGCUCGUUCAGGUGGAAGAUCGAAUUUCUUUUGAAGGUGAUUGAGAAAAAUUCAUCGAAUUUAUCGAUUACCCUUGGCGACACUUAACACGUUAAUUGUGGAUAUUACCUUCGCAUCAUGCUUUCAUGGAAAUUUGCCCCACUCUUCUUACACCGUAUACUAUCUAGUUCACGAGGAUAUUAAGAUUACCUUAAUGAAGAAUUACCCCGUGCCAUGGAUUUCACUAACUGAUACUAUACUUGUAUCACUCAUCCAUAUCUAUGUAUAUACUGUAUAAGGACAACAUAAAAUGCAUGACACCAUUGGCAACCCUUACACGCAUAGGUAUGUAUCCUCAUACUAUUUAUCAUUGAAUAAAAAAAUUUUAUUUUAGUCGACACCGACGCCUUCGAUAAUCACCUUUACUGUAUUGCCACCGAGGCCGACGCUUAUUAAUUAUUUAUGAGCACCGUCGCUGAGACCUAGCUGUCCCGAUGAUAUACAUGCGGGUGGAAAAGUCACAGGGCCUCAUCGUCAGGGCCACUUUGGAAUUGAUACUUCCGACGUUUCUACUUUUGAAAAAGAAAUUGUUUCCGCAAUCAUAACUUCCUUUACUUUGAGAUACUUUUUUUUUCUUUCCUAGAUAUGCUGGAUUACACUGGUUUCGUAUUCAGACGCGUUGCCGUGUUUAGUUGGAAUUAAUGCCAUUCGUUGGGAACCCUAGGGACUUUUACGUUCUUUCUGUCUACAUACCCAAACUAAGGAUGCUCCGAUGGGAUAUAAGGAACUCAAGAGGCAUCCGGGAGAAAUGAAAUAGCCUGUUAAACGUAAACUCCAGUAUUCUACAUUGAAUACGUACACUAUCUAUGCUGUUCGAUUACCCAAAACUCGUGAAAGGAUCGCGCAUCCCAUAUUGGGAUAGGCUUGCCAGUCUGCGGGUAACGUUUGCUACGACAUUCUAAAUCAAUGUCUCUAUUGGUGAUACCUUAUCACCCAUGGAUAUCAUGCGACCUUGUGCCUUUUUGAUCGUCCGUCAUCGAUCGGAUUGUUCACAUGCUACAGUAUGAGUUUGAUGAUUCUACGGUUAUAACUUAAGAAGAAAAAAGCACUCUCAUAAAACAAUUUUUCCAUGAACUUCCGGUACUGUUCUAAUACGAUAAAAGACUCUAUGCGACGUCACAAUCGAAUUCUUGUCAAAUUCUCAUCGCUACCACCCUAUGGAUACAGGCGGAUACACCGCUACUUCCUACAGGCAUUCCGCGCAAUCAAGGUUAUUUACUCAGGUUGGUAGACCUGCUUUAUUGCGGGGUUGAACGAACUCCAUCGUUUUCGACAUUCGUUACCCGGCGAACCCGUCUCUGCACUGUAAUAAAGUCUGGCCCGGCUUCCAAGUCGAGGCUCUAUCUACUACCUACGUAAUUGACAGGCGCGCAUGGAUGAGGAAAGGAGUAGCAAGUUUUUACUAUUUGUUUAUUGUUCGACGACUGUCUAAACCGUGAGGCUCGUUCGCGCCAGCGUCGAUCGCUUAAGUCGAGAAGACAAAUGUGAAGCAGAGAAAAUAAAGAGAGAAACCUCAAGAAGAAGAGUUUACAUCGCAUCGAUUCGAUCGUCGGACAAACUGCGACAGGAAUCGCCAGUGAUCGCGAUCAUGGAACGACUUCGUUAGAUCUUUUAAGAAAGCCAAAUAAAACUUACGGUCGUAUCAUCUUGAUAUUUUCAAGUAUUACAGAAGUUUAUGGUCUAUCAAAGCUAAGGCCAUAGAACUGUCAAUUUGAGAAAGGGUAUCUAUCGUGAUUUCGGUUAACGCUACGUGUCUCUCUCUCUUGCGCACGUAAGCCCACAUAAGUCUCUCUCUCUCGCACUCGCGGAAGGUAUAGGAAAAACGAAAAAUCUUAAGCCCUCGGGGUCUUUUCUCAUACACAACCUUUCAGCAUGGCUUUGCGCGUCUGUCGAGCAUUUUUCAUACUUUUCUCCAAUCUUCAAAUAGAUCAUCACUGCUAUCCACGUAAUACGCAAACGAUGUCACGUUAACGCAACUCGCUUAAGAUUCCAAAUAGAAAAGCAUUAUACAAAGUACGUAGCAUCGUGUUCCUAUAUCGUUGUCCAUUAACGAAAACAAGAUGGUGACGCGAUACAAAAUUUUGAGAAAAUAUUUACGAGCCAGAAGUCAUUCUUAUCUUUGUUUAGCUUAUCGAGUUUCAAUACUCGUCGAUAAGCAAUACGCCUCCUUAACGUGAAUUGUAUUGGUUUAGUCAAAAUUAAAAAUCCUAUUGUUUCGAAAAAG
Cephus cinctus (wheat stem sawfly) is the source of this 3405-nucleotide long non-coding RNA. RefSeq lists it as uncharacterized. NCBI's taxonomy places the organism in Eukaryota, Metazoa, Arthropoda, Insecta, Hymenoptera, Cephidae. The record is from RefSeq and is a predicted model, not a curated record. The transcript is spliced from 5 exons.